RNAcentral lists this ribosomal RNA (253 nucleotides) under uncultured bacterium. RNAcentral's name for it is "partial 16S ribosomal RNA". It matches the Rfam family "Bacterial small subunit ribosomal RNA", at positions 524 to 776 of the family's 1533-position model. The record is from RNAcentral.
UACAGAGACUGCAAGCGUUGUUCGGAUUCACUGGGCGUAAAGGGUGCGUAGGCGGCCAGGUAAGUCUGCUGUGAAAUCCCGCAGCUCAACUGCGGAACUGCAUUGGAAACUAUCUGGCUAGAGGAAUGGAGGGGAGACUGGAAUUCUCGGUGUAGCAGUGAAAUGCGUAGAUAUCGAGAGGAACACCAGUGGCGAAGGCGAGUCUCUGGACAUUUCCUGACGCUGAGGCACGAAAGCCAGGGGAGCAAACGGG